AUAGCGUAUAUUAAAGUUGUUGCCGUUAAAAAGCUCGUAGUCGAACUUCGGCCUUUGCCGCCCGGUCCGCCCUUUGGGUGUGUACUGGAGCGGUGGAGGCUUACCUCGUGGUGAACAAUCAUGCCCUUAACUGGGUGUGGUUGGGAACCAUGAUUUUUACUUUGAAAAAAUUAGAGUGUUCAAAGCAGGCUUACGCCCGAAUACAUUAGCAUGGAAUAAUAAAAUAGGACGUGCGGUUCUAUUUUGUUGGUUUCUAGAAUCGCCGUAAUGAUUAAUAGGGAUAGUUGGGGGCAUUCGUAUUCAAUUGCUAGAGGUGAAAUUCUUGGAUUUAUUGAAGACGAACUACUG
This 348-nucleotide ribosomal RNA is filed under the name Bannoa ogasawarensis. RNAcentral describes it as "SSU rRNA". It matches the Rfam family "Eukaryotic small subunit ribosomal RNA", at positions 594 to 945 of the family's 1831-position model. Lineage: Eukaryota; Fungi; Basidiomycota; Cystobasidiomycetes; Erythrobasidiales; Erythrobasidiaceae. The record is from RNAcentral. RNAcentral also lists the same sequence under 1 other name.